Small nuclear RNA from Ochotona princeps (American pika), 107 nucleotides. The record is from Ensembl. NCBI's taxonomy places the organism in Eukaryota, Metazoa, Chordata, Mammalia, Lagomorpha, Ochotonidae.
GUGCUCGUUGUGGCAGCACAUAUACUAAAACUGGAACGAUACAGAGAAGAUCAGCAUAGCCCCUGCGGAAGGAUGAUACGCAAAUUCAUGAAGCAUUCCAUAUUUUU